Paramisgurnus dabryanus is the source of this 573-nucleotide long non-coding RNA. RefSeq lists it as uncharacterized. Lineage: Eukaryota; Metazoa; Chordata; Actinopteri; Cypriniformes; Cobitidae. The record is from RefSeq and is a predicted model, not a curated record.
CUUCUUGUGUGUUAACAGGUCAUUGGCACUGCUGUAUCACAACAUCAUUUGCUGGCAUGUACAUCUAGGAUGCGAUCAAUCCAGAUGAGAUUCUCUCCAAUGCCAGCAAACCGACAGUGGAAGACACGAGCUAGCACUUCUCCCCCCACAUUGCCUCAGGCUUUUGAGAUACCCACUUAUAACUGCUUCUCCCCCCUAUGUUGGGAUCACCGGGGCCUCCAUCGCCCGGCAUGUACACGCUACAUUAGGUCAAUUAUGUGAGCUGCAGUCUGGAUCCUGCCUCUGUCAGAUCACCUAACACAAAUGGAAAGAUGACAUCGACCCUUGCAAGGACUUCAGACGAUGCCAGCACUGGACUACAUACAGUGCGUUUGGGUGAGAUCUAGACCGAGGACUAAGGCGUAUACUAGGACAUAACUAAGUGUUGUGGCCCACAGGUGAUCCUAAAGCAACAAAGAGGAACCAUGGAGAGGAAGAAGUGGUGUCCAGAUGUUAAAAGGCGGUGUUCGGGACAGGAAACAAAGGCAACAAAGAGGAACCUCUAAGGUUUAAAGCCACUGCUUGCAGAGACAA